This 480-nucleotide ribosomal RNA is filed under the name uncultured bacterium. Its description in RNAcentral is "partial 16S ribosomal RNA". It matches the Rfam family "Bacterial small subunit ribosomal RNA", at positions 28 to 507 of the family's 1533-position model. The record is from RNAcentral.
GACGGACGCUGGCGGCGCGCUUAACACAUGCAAGUCGAGCGAUGAAACUCUAACAGAACCCUUCGGGGCGAAGAUAAAGGGGAUUAUCGCCGGACGGGUGAGUAACACGUGAUUAACCUGCCUUAGACAUUGGGAUAGCCUCGGGAAACCGGGAUUAAUACCAAAUAAAAUCAUAAUGACACAUGUCAUAACGAUCAAAACUCCGGUGGUCUAAGAUGGACUCGCGUCCGAUUAGCUAGUUGGUAGAGUAAAAGCCUACCAAGGCGUCGAUGGGUAGCCGGCCUGAGAGGGGGAACGACCACAUUGGAACUGAGAAACGGUCCAAACUCGUACGGGAGGGAGCAGUGGGGAAUAUUGCGCGAGGGAGGGAAAUCUGAUGAAGCGGCGCGGCGUAAACGAAGAAGGCUUUCGAGACGUAAAGUUCUUUUAUAUGAGGAGAUAGUGACGGUACCAUAAGAAAAAGCCCCGGCUAACUACGUG